This 493-nucleotide ribosomal RNA is filed under the name uncultured bacterium. RNAcentral's name for it is "partial 16S ribosomal RNA". It matches the Rfam family "Bacterial small subunit ribosomal RNA", at positions 28 to 507 of the family's 1533-position model. The record is from RNAcentral.
GACGAACGCUGGCGGCGUGCCUAAUACAUGCAAGUAGAACGCUGAAGGAGGAGCUUGCUUCUCUGGAUGAGUUGCGAACGGGUGAGUAACGCGUAGGUAACCUGCCUGGUAGCGGGGGAUAACUAUUGGAAACGAUAGCUAAUACCGCAUAAUAGUAGAUGUUGCAUGACAUUUACUUAAAAGGUGCAAUUGCAUCACUACCAGAUGGACCUGCGUUGUAUUAGCUAGUUGGUGGGGUAACGGCUCACCAAGGCGACGAUACAUAGCCGACCUGAGAGGGUGAUCGGCCACACUGGGACUGACACGGCCCAGACUCCUACGGGAGGCAGCAGUAGGGAAUCUUCGGCAAUGGACGAAAGUCUGACCGAGCAACGCCGCGUGAGUGAAGAAGGUUUUCGGAUCGUAAAGCUCUGUUGUAAGAGAAGAACGAGUGUGAGAGUGGAAAGUUCACACUGUGACGGUAUCUUACCAGAAAGGGACGGCUAACUACGUG